UAGGAGUUGAGAAGAGGAGGAAGAAUAAUGGGAGGAGACAGGACGUUUUUCAACUUGACAAAUAGAUUUCUGAGAGAGCAGACACCAUCUUAUUUCUGUUGAAUUGUAUUUAGUAACUCAAAAGGCAUAUACCAAGCUGUCAGAAGCAGCUUCAUUUAAAAGAAUUAAAGCAGCAGCCUUGGAUCCAGAGAUGGACGCCAAUUGAUGAAGACGGCAGAACUGACUGGCUAGUCUGGGUUCCCUGGAGCAGAGCUGUCUCUCCACCCUAGGUUAUCCACUUACUUUUGUACUGUUAUGUGAGAG
Molecule: long non-coding RNA, 303 nt
Filed under: Pan troglodytes (chimpanzee)
Lineage: Eukaryota; Metazoa; Chordata; Mammalia; Primates; Hominidae
Description: long non-coding RNA NONPTRT000686
Source: RNAcentral